RNAcentral lists this ribosomal RNA (229 nucleotides) under uncultured bacterium. Its description in RNAcentral is "partial 16S ribosomal RNA". It matches the Rfam family "Bacterial small subunit ribosomal RNA", at positions 15 to 235 of the family's 1533-position model. The record is from RNAcentral.
GAUCAUGGCUCAGGACGAACGCUGGCGGCGUGCCUAACACAUGCAAGUCGAGCGGGGAACAUUGAAAGCUUGCUUUUGGUGUUUCUAGCGGCGGACGGGUGAGUAACGCGUGAGCAAUCUGUCUCAGACAGGGGGAUAACGCAGCGAAAGUUGCACUAAUACCGCAUAAGACCACAGAGCCACAUGGCAUAGGGGUCAAAGGAGCAAUCCGGUCUGAGGUGAGCUCGCG